RNAcentral lists this ribosomal RNA (396 nucleotides) under uncultured bacterium. Its description in RNAcentral is "partial 16S ribosomal RNA". It matches the Rfam family "Bacterial small subunit ribosomal RNA", at positions 338 to 732 of the family's 1533-position model. The record is from RNAcentral.
CCUACGGGAGGCAGCAGUGAGGAAUAUUGGUCAAUGGGCGCAAGCCUGAACCAGCCAAGCCGCGUGAGGGAAGACGGUACUACGUGUUGUAAACCUCUUUUGUCCGGGGGCAAACGCAGGUACGCGUCCCCGGCUGAGAGUACCUGAAGAAAAAGCAUCGGCUAACUCCGUGCCAGCAGCCGCGGUAAUACGGAGGAUGCGAGCGUUAUCCGGAUUUAUUGGGUUUAAAGGGUGCGCAGGCGGCCUGUUAAGUCAGCGGUAAAAGCCCGGGGCUCAACCCGGGAGAGCCGUUGAAACUGGCCGGCUGGAGAUGGAGAGAAGUACGCGGAAUGUGUGGUGUAGCGGUGAAAUGCUUAGAUAUCGUGCAGAACCCCGAUUGCGAAGGCAGCGUACCGG